This 77-nucleotide transfer RNA is filed under the name Chloroflexota bacterium. RNAcentral's name for it is "Chloroflexi bacterium (freshwater metagenome) tRNA-Val". It matches the Rfam family "tRNA". Rfam says of the family: Transfer RNA (tRNA) molecules are approximately 80 nucleotides in length. The record is from RNAcentral. Lineage: Bacteria; Bacillati; Chloroflexota.
GGGCGCGUAGCUCAGCUGGUCAGAGCGCACGGUUCACAUCCGUGAGGUCGGAGGUUCGAGCCCUCUCGCGCCCACCU